CGGACAGUGCGGAGUGGAGGUUGCACUGCCCAGCGUGUUUCUCGUUUGUAGUGUAAAUCUGUGCUGCGCGGUUCCGCUGACUCCACCCUCAGGGUCUUGGGAGUCACUACGGACCUUAACUCCCAGCAGCCGGCCCUCCGACCCAGUAAAUCCAGACAUCGCUGUUACAGGUCGGGUAUGUUUUCCUUUGGGUUUGAAAUCGUUCUGAGGCGGGUCCCGGUGCCCUUGGCUUUUCUACCUUCGGUGCAGAUCGACCUCUAAAGACUCAUAUUGUCUGAGGAAGAAGCCCGGAAGAGGAGGGAGAGGAAAGAAAACGAGUCAGAAAUGGCUCUUUCUCAGGCACCGUUGACCUUCAAGGAUGUGGCCGUAGGAUUCACUCAGGAGGAGUGGGAAUGCCUGGACCCUGCUCAGAGGGCCUUGUACAGGGACGUGAUGGUGGAGACCUACAGGAACCUGCUCUCCCUGGCAUAAUGUGUUAUGAGUGAUGAGGACUCCAUAUAGGACUCUGAUUCAAGAGGAAUCUCGUGAAACUUAUGAAAUCCUCAUGUGUGACUCAAGUCAUGUUUUGGUAGAACUUUUUCUCCUUUUUCUUCUAUCCUUAACAUACAAGGUUGGAUGUAUUUUGUGUGAACAAAGAAGGGACAAAUUAUUUCUGAUAGAAGCUGCACUAACAUGUAUUAUAAUAUUAUUUCCAACUAUCACCCUGCUAUGCAGUUAUACAUGACAUUUGUUUGGUUUCUCUCAAAGAUGUAUAUUCUGAUAUAAGGUAAGGCAUGAGCCCUAGUUACAGGCUUUUCCACAUAAGUUUUGUAUGGUUUCUCUCUAUGAUGGAGUCUCUUUUUAUUGAAAUAUAAUUGAUAUACAACAGUAUUAGUAUUGGCUGUACUACAUGAGGUAACAUUUGCAUACUUUAUGAAAUGAUCACAAUGAGUAGCCAUCUUUCCUCAGAGCUACUACCAUACUACUUCUAAACACAUUCCUUAUGCUGGAUAUUACAUCCCCAUGACUUAUUAUAUAGAGGUUUGUGCCUCUUAAUCUCCUUCACCUAUUUUACCUGCUGCUGCACCGCCCUUCCUUCUGGCAACAACCACACAUUUGUUCUUUAUCUGUGAAUCUGUUUUCCUUGUCUUGUGCUUUUACUUCUUUGAUUCCACUUACAAGUGAGAUCGUGCAGUAUUUGUUUUUCUACACCUGACUUACGUCUCUUCGCAUAAAAUCCUCUAGAUCCAUCCAUUUUGUUGCAAAUGGCUGGACUUCUUUUCUUAAGGGUGACUGAUAUUCCACUGUGCGGCAUGGACAUACAACAUCUCCUCUAAGCGUUCAUCUAUUGAUGGACACCUAGGCUGCUUCUCUAUCUUGGCUACUGGAAAUAAUGUUACAAUGAAUAUUCAAAUGCCUAUAUUUUCUCAAAUUAUUGUUUUUCUUUUCUGCCAGUAAAUACUUCAAAGUGCAAUACCUGGUUCAUCUGUUUUAAUUUUUGAGGAACUUCAGUAAUGUUUUCCGUAAAUGUUGCACCAACUUACAAUCCCAGCAAUAGUGGACAGGGUUCCCUUUUCUCCACACCAUUGCCAAUGCUUGUCUUUCUGAUGAUAGCCAUUGUAAACAGGUGUGAGGUGGUACCUCAUUGAGCUUUUUUUAUAUGAUUUUUUAAAAUUUUAUUCAUUUAUUUAAUUUUUAGCUGCAUUGGGUGUUCGCUGCUGCACACGGGUUUCCUCUAGGUGCUAGAGAGCGGGGGCUACUCUUUGUGGCGGCACGUGGGCUUCUCAUCAUGGUGGCUUCUCUUGAUGCAGAGCACGGGCUCUAGGCACCCGGGCUUCAGUAGUUGUGGCUCACAGGCUCUAGAGCGCAGGCUCAGUAGUUGUGGCACACAGGCUUAGCUGCUCCAUGGCAGGUGGGAUCUUCCUGGACCAGGGCUUGAACCCGUGCCCCCUGCAUUGGCAGGCGGAUUCUUAACCACUGUACCACCAGGGAAGCCCCCUCAUUGCGCUUUUGAUUUACACUUCCCUGAUGAUCAGUGACGGUGAGCAUCUUUUCAUGUGUCUGCUGGCCAUCUGUAUGUCUUCUUUCUCCCUGAUAGACUCCCAUAUGUUAAGUAAGGCUUGAAUACAUGCACAGAUUUUGUCUGAAUUGCUUUAUUCUUAAAGUUUCUACUUUUAAAAUCUCUGGUGACCCCUAAACCUUGAGCUUUUGGACCAAAGCAUUGCCACUUAUGUGAGGCUUAUGUUUGUUUUCAGUAUGUAUUUUGAGAUGCCUGGUGAGGCUUGCAAAUUGAGUAUAAGCUUUGCAACACAUAUUACAUUGGUAAGGAUUUUCUCCAGUGUGGAUUGUUUUAUGUUGAAUAAGAUAUGAAUGUCUUGUAAGGGCUUUGACACACUCAUCACAUUCGUAAAGUUUCUCUCCAGUGUGAGUUCUCUCAUGACCCCAAAGUUGUGACCGUUCAAUGAAAGCCUUAUCACAUUGAUUACAUGUAAAAGGCUUUUCUCCUGUAUGAAUCCUCUGGUGUGCUAUAAGGCUUGAACGCUGCGUGAAAUGCUCGCCACACUCGUGACAUCUGUGUGGUUCCUCUCUAGUGUGGACUCUCUCAUGCUGAGUAAGAUACGAGUGCACUGUAAAGGCUUUGCCACACUAAGACAUCUGUAUGAUUUCUGUCCGGUAUGGAUUCUCUUAUGUCUGUUAAAGCUUGACUGCUCAGCACAGGCUUUGCCACACUCAUGACAUUUGUAAGGCUUCUCUCCUGUAUGCACUCUCUGAUGUGUUGUGAGGUGUGACUGGUGGUUAAAGGCUUUGCCACACUCACUACAUCUGUAAGGUUUCUGUCCAGAAUGAAUUCUCCUGUGAUUCCUGAGGUUUGAGCUUUUGCUAAAAGCCUUCCCACAGUCAUUACAGUUGUAAGAUUUUUCUCGAGUGUGUGUUCUCCUGUGUUGUGCAGGUGACAAAGUGUUUUCCACACUAGGAGCAAUUCUGUGAAGUGGUGAAACUGAGGAACCACUGCUGACUGGCUUCUCAACUUGACCGCAUGCAUACAUUUUCUCC
Molecule: RNA transcript, 3033 nt
Organism: Balaenoptera acutorostrata (minke whale)
Lineage: Eukaryota; Metazoa; Chordata; Mammalia; Artiodactyla; Balaenopteridae
Gene name: KRAB domain-containing protein 5-like
Exons: 4
Source: RefSeq, a predicted model, not a curated record